This 394-nucleotide ribosomal RNA is filed under the name uncultured bacterium. RNAcentral describes it as "bacterial SSU rRNA". It matches the Rfam family "Bacterial small subunit ribosomal RNA", at positions 362 to 770 of the family's 1533-position model. The record is from RNAcentral.
UAUUGUACAAUGGGUGGAACCCUGAUCCAGCGACGCCGCGUGAGUGAAGAAGUAUUUCGGGAUGUAAAUCUCUAUCAGCAGGGAAGAAAGAAGUGACGGUACCUGACUAAGAAGCCCCGGCUAACUACGUGCCAGCAGCCGCGGUAAUACGUAGGGGGCAAGCGUUAUCCGGAUUUACUGGGUGUAAAGGGAGCGUAGACGGCGAUGCAAGUCUGAAGUGAAAGGCGGGGGCCCAACCCCCGGACUGCGUUGGAAACUGUAUGGCUGGAGUGCAGGAGAGGUAAGUGGAAUUCCUAGUGUAGCGGUGAAAUGCGUAGAUAUUAGGAGGAACACCAGUGGCGAAGGCGGCUUACUGGACUGUAACUAACGUUGAGGCUCGAAAGCGUGGGGAGCA